GAUGAACGCUAGCGGCAGGCCUAACACAUGCAAGUCGAGGGGUAACAGGGAAAGCUUGCUUUCCGCUGACGACCGGCGAACGGGUGCGUAACACGUAUGCAACCUACCUUCCACUGGGGUAUAGCCCAGAGAAAUUUGGAUUAAUCCCCCAUAGAACCAAGAGUCGCAUGGCUCAAUGGUUAAAGGAUUCCGGUGGAAGAUGGGCAUGCGUCCCAUUAGCUAGUAGGUGAGGUAACGGCUCACCUAGGCAACGAUGGGUAGGGGGUCUGAGAGGAUGAUCCCCCACACUGGUACUGAGACACGGACCAGACUCCUACGGGAGGCAGCAGUGAGGAAUAUUGCGCAAUGGACGAAAGUCUGACGCAGCCAUGCCGCGUGAAGGAUGACUGCCCUAUGGGUUGUAAACUUCUUUUAUAUACCAAGAAACCUCAGGACGUGUCCUGAGCUGACGGUAGUAUAUGAAUAAGCACCGGCUAACUCCGUGCCAGCCGCCGCCGUAACAC
This 503-nucleotide ribosomal RNA is filed under the name uncultured bacterium. RNAcentral's name for it is "bacterial SSU rRNA". It matches the Rfam family "Bacterial small subunit ribosomal RNA", at positions 28 to 526 of the family's 1533-position model. The record is from RNAcentral.